Calidris pugnax (ruff) is the source of this 705-nucleotide long non-coding RNA. RefSeq lists it as uncharacterized. The record is from RefSeq and is a predicted model, not a curated record. The transcript has 4 exons. NCBI's taxonomy places the organism in Eukaryota, Metazoa, Chordata, Aves, Charadriiformes, Scolopacidae.
ACAUGUGCAGCAAGAUGAGCAACUCCACAAGCUUUUGGGGAGCCGAAGACAAAGCAAAGCUCUAAUCCUACAGGAAAAAACUUCCUUUAUCAAAUUCACCAGGCCUGACACCUUGCUAAGACUGUACAGGCAUCACGUCAGCACACUCCUAUAGUACAGGGAGAAAACUCUCCCCAGGAAAAGAUAGUGCCUAAUUCUAAUUCCUUUGGAGUCUGCUUCUGGAAGGAGAGCCUUUUCCAACUUACAUCAUCUGGAAGCAAGCACCCGGGUAGUCUUACCGUGAGAGUCUGAUCUUGUGUUGCAAUGAUGGACAACUCUCAAAGUCUGCUGCAGGCCUCUAGAAAAUAAGAAGAGUUUUUCCUGUGACUUAAGUGAUGGCUUUGCUGGCUGACCUGCUGGCUGACUGUGCAGUUAGCAAAUAAGGUAACCUAUAUUAAUGUUUUCAGCUUCCACUAAGAUUUUGAAAAUUGUAGGGCUUCUUAUAAAUAGAUACUGUAAGAAGUAGGUGACAAUAAACAUUUUGUAUUUCCUGUUCCUUAGAUUAAUUUCUUUUUUCUUUAACUAAAAGCAACACUGUGUACUUCAGCAAUGUCUGGACUGAUAUGAGAAGAAAAACUCUUACUUUUUUUUUUUUGAGUUCAUAGAAAGUGGGACAUUUGGAUUUUUUCUUUACUGUAUUAUUUAAAGACUGACUCCACAUCUGCG